CCUGUCCAAGUGGUCUCACCCUCACAUAACAUGGCACGGGAGGAUUGCGGUGAUUAAAAUGAAUAUUCUCCCGAGAAUCUUAUAUCUCAUGCAAACCAUACCCCUCGCAAUACCACCAACCUUUUUCUCCACCCUGAAAACGGCAAUGAUCAAAUUCAUCUGGCGGGGAGGAAGAUCCAGGAUUAGACACGACAUUAUCUGCCACCCUAGAAUUUGCGGAGGUCUAG
Molecule: non-coding RNA, 227 nt
Organism: Pelobates cultripes (western spadefoot toad)
Lineage: Eukaryota; Metazoa; Chordata; Amphibia; Anura; Pelobatidae
Source: the annotation of a GenBank genome assembly